This 498-nucleotide ribosomal RNA is filed under the name uncultured bacterium. RNAcentral's name for it is "partial 16S ribosomal RNA". It matches the Rfam family "Bacterial small subunit ribosomal RNA", at positions 30 to 523 of the family's 1533-position model. The record is from RNAcentral.
AUUGAACGCUGGCGGCAUGCCUUACACAUGCAAGUCGAACGGUAACAGGUCUUCGGAUGCUGACGAGUGGCGAACGGGUGAGUAAUACAUCGGAACGUGCCUAGUAGUGGGGGAUAACUACUCGAAAGAGUGGCUAAUACCGCCUGAGAUCUAAGGAUGAAAGCAGGGGAGCGCAAGACCUUGUGCUACUACAGCGGCCGAUGGCAGAUUAGGUAGUUGGUGGGGUAAAAGCUGACCAAGCCGACGAUCUGUAGCUGGUCUGAGAGGACGAUCAGCCACACUGGGACUGAGACACGGCCCAGACUCCUACGGGAGGCAGCAGUGGGGAAUUUUGGACAAUGGGCGCAAGCCUGAUCCAGCAAUGCCGCGUGCAGGAUGAAGGCCUUCGGGUUGUAAACUGCUUUUGUACGGAACGAAAAGCCCUGGGUUAAUACCCUGGGGUCACGACGGUACCGUAAGAAUAAGCACCGGCUAACUACGUGCCAGCCGCCGCCGUAA